This is a long non-coding RNA of Vigna unguiculata (cowpea), 1844 nucleotides long. The record is from RefSeq and is a predicted model, not a curated record. NCBI's taxonomy places the organism in Eukaryota, Viridiplantae, Streptophyta, Magnoliopsida, Fabales, Fabaceae.
UUAAUUGUUGAUUGAUAUUGGCUGACAGCAGGAUCUUUCUUCUCCAAUGCAAUGAACUUCGUCGAGGUUGACAGGAGUUUUGGUUGGUGUAGAACGUUUGGUUCAUCAAGAAGAUUGAAGUGCUAUAACGUUGAGGAAAAUAAGGCUUAUGGAUAAGGAUCUAAGGCCCUUUGCAAAUCAAUUGGACUUUUGCUAAGCGUAGCAUUUGUAAUGGUGCCAACAUUGUAGAGGACGUGAUAUAGUUUUCUUUUCAAAAUGAAAAAAUUGUCGAGGAGGCUUCUAGCCACGACUGAAAUUCUAUAUUUUGUGGUGCUUUUGUGGAAUGAACUCGCGAACGGUCCCUCCUUUUUCUCCUGCUCAUAUUUUUGAAGCCCAUGAUUUAUUUAUUUUUCCUUUGGCUUUUAUCUGUUAAGGUUUUGUUCUCCUUAAUCAACUGAUUGUUUUGUUUCCAUUUCUUACAAUUAUUUUGUUUCCAUCUCCUAUUACCGUAUUUUCGUGGAUCUAUCAAAUGGGUUUGCAGUUUUUUUUUUUUUUUGUAUUUGUUUAUUAUAUUGAUGGUUGAUUUGCUUUGUUGCUUUUGUUAUUAAGGUUUUGUUUUCUUUCAUGAGAUGAUUGUUGUUAAGGUUUUCUUUAGCUUUUACUGUUAAAGUUUGCUUUGGCUUUUGUUAUUAAGGUUUUGUUUUCUAUCUUGAUGUUUCUAUUUGUUUUGUAUCUUGAAUAUGUUUUUGUAAUCCAAAAAAGCCUUUCCAUGUGAAUGUGUAUCUAAUGUUUUUCCUUUCUUUGUCCUUAUGAAACCUUAGAGAGCAUAAUCCUUGAUCUGUGUGUUUGGAGUUGCUGAAGGUUUACUUCUUUGUGGCACAAAUAGAGGGGAAGGUUCAGCAAGGUGAUGGAGACAUUCAAUUACUUUGGCAUUGAGCUCAUGGAUACUAAUCUCACUACUACAGAAGGAGCAUUUAUGGUUACAGGAAGAAGAGGAGAUCCCUCCAUGAACAAAUUGCUUUUUUCUGCACAAAGGAACUACAGCUAUUGAAUAGAAAUGCAAACUGGAGAGACAAUUCUCUGAACUAAGAAUGGCAAUUGAUGAGGAGCAAAAUGAAGUUAUCUCUUUGUGCGUCUAAUGAUUUGGCUUGACAAAAAGGUUAUCUUGAAGAAAAUUUAAAACUCGCUAAUGAUUUGAAAGUAAGUAUAGUUUCAUGAUGAUAUCAGUAUUUUAUUAUUCUCUUUUCAUUUUUUUUAUUGUUUUGUUGCUACUUUUAUAGCUAUUUUUUAUUGGUAGACAUGGUUAUUGACGUUAAUUAAUGACUUUCGUUUUUUAUUUGAAUUCAUUUUAGAAUGGACCCAAACUUAAUUUUUUCCCAUAUAGGGACUUGCUGUUAUAACUUCAUAUGAUGAUUGCAGGUAUAGAUGACUAUUAAUAUUAAUGACUGAAAUGAUACACAUUCAUCAUUGUGGUUGUAAUUGUUUUGUUGCUGCUCUUGAUAAUAUUGUAACCUUACUUUCCAAAUAAAACCAAGUGUUACGGUUGAAAGUUGUUGCAUACCACUUUGUUCAAAUUUUCGUACUCUCAAACUUUCUUCUCUUGGUUUAGAAAUCCUUUGUGCUAUAAUGGUCGUGAUAUCUUUAAUCUAUAUUUGGAAUUGUGAUUAUGAAAUUUAUUUGUAGGACGGGGUUGGUGGAGAACAAUCAAUACAAUAUCUGGUAAAAUUGGAAGUGAUUUCUUUGUCAGGAUUUCUUAAUUAGCUUCUAACAUUUUCAUAAGGUGUUAUUUUAUUUCACUUGACCGAUAUUGCAGCAGUCAUGUAAAUGGAUUAUCAACAUGUAUUAUGAAUAUUGGUGCUCACAUG